Molecule: ribosomal RNA, 229 nt
Filed under: uncultured bacterium
Lineage: Bacteria
Description: partial 16S ribosomal RNA
Rfam family: Bacterial small subunit ribosomal RNA
Source: RNAcentral
GAGCGGCGCACGGGAGAGUAACACGUGGGAACCUACCUUUUGGUUCGGAAUAACGUCGGGAAACUGACGCUAAUACCGGAUAAGCCCUAUGGGGGAAAGAUUUAUUGCCAAAAGAUGGGCCCGCGCAGGAUUAGCUAGUUGGUGAGGUAAUGGCUCACCAAGGCUACGAUCUUUAGCUGGUCUGAGAGGAUGACCAGUCUCACUGGGACUGAGACACGGCCCAGACUCC